GCUGGGUCAAUAAUGGCCCAAUUUGGGUCAUUUCUAAAAAAACUGGGUUAUUUUGACCCAGCACUGUUAGGUUACGUGAAUGUGGUUAUUUUGACCCAGCACUGUUAGGUUACGUGAAUGUGGUUAUUUUGACCCAGCACUGUUAGGUUACGUGAAUGUGGUUAUUUUGACCCAGCACUGUUAGGUUACGUGAAUGUGGUUAUUUUGUCCCAGCACUGUUAGGUUACGUGAAUGUGGUUAUUUUGACCCAGCACUGUUAGGUUACGUGAAUGUGGUUAUUUUGUCCCAGCAGUGGGUUGCUCUUUUGCUGGGUUAUUGUUAUUCAUGUAUUUUUGACCAAUCUGUGGGUUAUGUCUUACUUUAUUGCUGGGUAACCAUUAUUUUGAUUUUUAUUGCUUGUCUCUACUAUAGAAUCUGCUGUUUUUAUAUUAGUACAAAUACUUCUAACGAUAACAAUCAAUGUUAUAACGUUAGUACAGUAUGAAAU
This 487-nucleotide long non-coding RNA is filed under the name Salmo salar (Atlantic salmon). Its description in RNAcentral is "lncRNA (ENSSSAG00000086508.1)". Lineage: Eukaryota; Metazoa; Chordata; Actinopteri; Salmoniformes; Salmonidae. The record is from RNAcentral.